GCGGGGGUGCCCGAGUGGUCAAAGGGGCUAGGCUUAGGACCUAGUGGCAUAGGCCUGCGCGGGUUCAAACCCCGUCCCCCGCA
Molecule: transfer RNA, 83 nt
Filed under: Candidatus Altarchaeales archaeon
Lineage: Archaea; Nanobdellati; Candidatus Altarchaeota; Candidatus Altarchaeia; Candidatus Altarchaeales
Also listed under: 1 other name
Description: Candidatus Altiarchaeales archaeon tRNA-Leu
Rfam family: tRNA
About the family: Transfer RNA (tRNA) molecules are approximately 80 nucleotides in length.
Source: RNAcentral